GGGCCGGUCGUCUAGCCUGGUAGGAUGCAGCAUUGGCAUUGCUGAGGUCGUGGGUUCAAAUCUCACCCGGUCCA
RNAcentral lists this transfer RNA (74 nucleotides) under Nitrososphaeraceae archaeon. RNAcentral describes it as "tRNA-Ala". It matches the Rfam family "tRNA". From Rfam's summary of the family: Transfer RNA (tRNA) molecules are approximately 80 nucleotides in length. Their secondary structure includes four short double-helical elements and three loops (D, anti-codon, and T loops). Further hydrogen bonds mediate the characteristic L-shaped molecular structure. tRNAs have two regions of fundamental functional importance: the anti-codon, which is responsible for specific mRNA codon recognition, and the 3' end, to which the tRNAs corresponding amino acid is attached (by aminoacyl-tRNA synthetases). tRNAs cope with the degeneracy of the genetic code in two manners: having more than one tRNA (with a specific anti-codon) for a particular amino acid; and 'wobble' base-pairing, i.e. permitting non-standard base-pairing at the 3rd anti-codon position. Lineage: Archaea; Thermoproteati; Nitrososphaerota; Nitrososphaeria; Nitrososphaerales; Nitrososphaeraceae. The record is from RNAcentral.